AUUGAACGCUGGCGGCAGGCCUAACACAUGCAAGUCGAGCGGAUGAAGGGAGCUUGCUCCUGGAUUCAGCGGUGGACGGGUGAGUAAUGCCUAGGAAUCUGCCUGGUAGUGGGGGAUAACGUCCGGAAACGGGCGCUAAUACCGCAUACGUCCUGAGGGAGAAAGUGGGGGAUCUUCGGACCUCACGCCAUCAGAUGAGCCUAGGUCGGAUUAGCUAGUUGGUGGGGUAAAGGCCUACCAAGGCGACGAUCCGUAACUGGUCUGAGAGGAUGAUCAGUCACACUGGAACUGAGACACGGUCCAGACUCCUACGGGAGGCAGCAGUGGGGAAUAUUGGACAAUGGGCGAAAGCCUGAUCCAGCCAUGCCGCGUGUGUGAAGAAGGUCUUCGGAUUGUAAAGCACUUUAAGUUGGGAGGAAGGGCAGUAAGUUAAUACCUUGCUGUUUUGACGUUACCAACAGAAUAAGCACCGGCUAACUUCGUG
This 484-nucleotide ribosomal RNA is filed under the name uncultured bacterium. RNAcentral describes it as "partial 16S ribosomal RNA". It matches the Rfam family "Bacterial small subunit ribosomal RNA", at positions 30 to 507 of the family's 1533-position model. The record is from RNAcentral.